RNAcentral lists this ribosomal RNA (162 nucleotides) under uncultured bacterium. Its description in RNAcentral is "partial 16S rRNA". It matches the Rfam family "Bacterial small subunit ribosomal RNA", at positions 357 to 511 of the family's 1533-position model. The record is from RNAcentral.
UAGGAUCUUCCACAAUGGACGAAAGUCUGAUGGAGCAACGCCGCGUGAGUGAAGAAGGUUUUCGGAUCGUAAAGCUCUGUUGUUGGUGAAGAAGGAUAGAGGCAGUAACUGGUCUUUAUUUGACGGUAAUCAACCAGAAAGUCACGGCUAACUACGUGCCAG